Long non-coding RNA from Sorex fumeus (smoky shrew), 650 nucleotides. RefSeq lists it as uncharacterized. NCBI's taxonomy places the organism in Eukaryota, Metazoa, Chordata, Mammalia, Eulipotyphla, Soricidae. The transcript is spliced from 4 exons. The record is from RefSeq and is a predicted model, not a curated record.
GCUGCAAAAAGCCUGCGGCGCUCCGAGGCGCCCGGUCCUGGGGACCUCUUUCCACUCUUUACUCUCGGGAUAGGAGGCUAGGACUGGGGGGUUGUUUUUUGGUUUUCUGGCUUUGUUUUCAUCGGGGUUUGGACGGGUUUUGUGUUUCCUAUUUUUCCUCUUUAUUUUUCUCUGUUUUUUCUCUCUCUUUUUUUUCUUUUUUUGCCUUUUCUUUCCUGUCAUUCUCCCAGCCAAAAGCCGCCUUCGACCCUUUUGAUUUGAUGUAGCAAAGAUUGUGUCCAGAUUAUCUGAAAUUGACACUGAAGAAGCUCUUGCUCCAGUUCCCACCUGGAUGUUGGAAACCCAUGCCAAGCUGAUCCGAACCCUCCUGGAUUUUCCAGGGUAUUCAAAGAAAUCCGGAAAGGAAGGUUUCUGCUUUGGGGUCUGGGAUGCCUGGCUCAGCGCACAGAACCACCCAGAGGCCCAGCCAGUGGCAAGGGACGCUCUCGGAUUUAUCUUUUGCUGGAUUAGUUGCGCACGUACCUGGAUCCUCCAGGCGGCUCUGGGCGAGGCUGGCGCUGCCGGGGUAGGACUGCACCGAACUGAUGUAGGGGCUGGACGCGUGGCUGCUGACCGAGUUGACGUAAGGGUAGCCCAGCGGUCGGGAGAAG